RNAcentral lists this ribosomal RNA (375 nucleotides) under uncultured Serratia sp. RNAcentral describes it as "bacterial SSU rRNA". It matches the Rfam family "Bacterial small subunit ribosomal RNA", at positions 521 to 896 of the family's 1533-position model. Lineage: Bacteria; Pseudomonadati; Pseudomonadota; Gammaproteobacteria; Enterobacterales; Yersiniaceae. The record is from RNAcentral.
UAAUACGAAGGGGCUAGCGUUGUUCGGAAUUACUGGGCGUAAAGCGCACGCAGGCGGUUUGUUAAGUCAGAUGUGAAAUCCCCGGGCUCAACCUGGGAACUGCAUUUGAAACUGGCAAGCUAGAGUCUCGUAGAGGGGGGUAGAAUUCCAGGUGUAGCGGUGAAAUGCGUAGAGAUCUGGAGGAAUACCGGUGGCGAAGGCGGCCCCCUGGACGAAGACUGACGCUCAGGUGCGAAAGCGUGGGGAGCAAACAGGAUUAGAUACCCUGGUAGUCCACGCUGUAAACGAUGUCGAUUUGGAGGUUGUGCCCUUGAGGCGUGGCUUCCGGAGCUAACGCGUUAAAUCGACCGCCUGGGGAGUACGGCCGCAAGGUUA